AGUUUUUCGUAUCCAUGCUGAGAUUUCGUCAGACACCAACCCAUUAGGGCUGAUCAGACUUCCAAGGUAAGUGAAGUU
Molecule: microRNA precursor, 78 nt
Filed under: Schistosoma curassoni
Lineage: Eukaryota; Metazoa; Platyhelminthes; Trematoda; Strigeidida; Schistosomatidae
Description: mir-3492 microRNA precursor family
Rfam family: mir-3492 microRNA precursor family
Source: Rfam by way of RNAcentral